This 253-nucleotide ribosomal RNA is filed under the name uncultured bacterium. RNAcentral's name for it is "partial 16S ribosomal RNA". It matches the Rfam family "Bacterial small subunit ribosomal RNA", at positions 524 to 776 of the family's 1533-position model. The record is from RNAcentral.
UACGGAGGGCGCGAGCGUUAAUCGGAAUUACUGGGCGUAAAGCGCGCGUAGGCUGUUGUGUAAGUUGGGGGUGAAAUCCCACGGCUCAACCGUGGAACAGCCCUUGAUACUGCGCGACUUGAAUCCGGGAGAGGGUGGCGGAAUUCCAGGUGUAGGAGUGAAAUCCGUAGAUAUCUGGAGGAACAUCAGUGGCGAAGGCGGCCACCUGGACCGGUAUUGACGCUGAGGCUCGAAAGCGUGGGGAGCAAACAGG